Molecule: ribosomal RNA, 261 nt
Filed under: uncultured bacterium
Lineage: Bacteria
Description: partial 16S ribosomal RNA
Rfam family: Bacterial small subunit ribosomal RNA
Source: RNAcentral
GUCCACGCCGUAAACGAUGUCAACUAGCCGUUGGAACCUUUAAGGUUUAGUGGUGCAGCUAACGCGAUAAGUUGACCGCCUGGGGAGUACGGUCGCAAGAUUAAAACUCAAAUGAAUUGACGGGGCCCGCACAAGCGGUGGAGUAUGUGGUUUAAUUCGAUGCAACGCGAAGAACCUUACCUGGCCUUGACAUGUCCGGAACUUACCAGAGAUGGUUUGGUGCCUUCGGGAACCGGAACACAGGUGCUGCAUGGCUGUCGU